RNAcentral lists this ribosomal RNA (463 nucleotides) under Salmonella enterica subsp. enterica serovar Poona. Its description in RNAcentral is "partial 23S ribosomal RNA". It matches the Rfam family "Bacterial large subunit ribosomal RNA", at positions 845 to 1240 of the family's 2925-position model. Lineage: Bacteria; Pseudomonadati; Pseudomonadota; Gammaproteobacteria; Enterobacterales; Enterobacteriaceae. The record is from RNAcentral.
AUAGCUGGUUCUCCCCGAAAGCUAUUUAGGUAGCGCCUCGUGAAUUCAUCUCCGGGGGUAGAGCACUGUUUCGGCUAGGGGGCCAUCCCGGCUUACCAACCCGAUGCAAACUGCGAAUACCGGAGAAUGUUAUCACGGGAGACACACGGCGGGUGCUAACGUCCGUCGUGAAGAGGGAAACAACCCAGACCGCCAGCUAAGGUCCCAAAGUCAUGGUUAAGUGGGAAACGAUGUGGGAAGGCCCAGACAGCCAGGAUGUUGGCUUAGAAGCAGCCAUCAUUUAAAGAAAGCGUAAUAGCUCACUGGUCGAGUCGGCCUGCGCGGAAGAUGUAACGGGGCUAAACCAUGCACCGAAGCUGCGGCAGCGAACGUAUCACCCAAGACAACUUUACGGAGUUAACGAUUGACGGAGCGAAGCGACGUCAAAGCGUUCAUUAAAGUCGAGUUGGCUUAGGGAUACGUU